AAACGAACUUGGAGAUAGCUGGUUCUCUCCGAAAUAGCUUUAGGGCUAGCCUCGCAAAGAGGAUGCUGGAGGUAGAGCUCUGUUUGGACUAGGGGCCCGUCAAGGGUUACUGAAUUCAGAUAAACUGCGAAUUCCAGACAUUUAUGUGCGGGAGUCAGACUGCGAGUGAUAAGAUCCGUAGUCGAAAGGGAAACAGCCCAGAUCACCAGUUAAGGUCCCAAAAUUCAUGCUAAGUGGAAAAGGAUGUGGAGUUGCGCAGACAACUAGGACGUUGGCUCAGAAGCAGCCAUCAUUCAAAGAGUGCGUAAUAGCUCACUAGUCGAGUGACGCCGCGCCGAAAAUUUACCGGGGCUAAGCAUGAUACCGAAACUGUGGAUGUGCAUUUAUGCACGUGGUAGGAGAGCGUUCUAGCGGCGGUGAAGCAUGACCGAGAGGACAUGUGGAGCUUCUAGAAGUGAGAAUGCCGGUAUGAGUAACGAAAGACAGGUGAGAAUCCUGUCCGCCGCAAGACUAAGGUUUCCUGGGGCAGGCUCGUCCGCCCAGGGUAAGUCGGGACCUAAGGCGAGGCCGAGAGGCGUAGUCGAUGGACAACAGGUUGAAAUUCCUGUACUGCACCGAAUCGUUAUGAGCGAUGGAGGGACGCAGGAGGCUAGCAGCGCGUGGUGCUGGAUACCACGUUCAAGCGUCAAGUCUGAGAGCGAGUCAAAUGCUUGCUCUCAUAAGGACAAGGCGUGAUGAGGAGCGAAAUUAAAGUAGCGAAGGCUGCGACGUCACACUGCCGAGAAAAGCUUCUAGCCAGAGACGGUGCACCCGUACCGCAAACCGACACAGGUAGUCGAGGAGAGUAUCCUCAGGUGAGCGAGAGAACUCUCGUUAAGGAACUCGGCAAAAUGGCCCCGUAACUUCGGGAGAAGGGGCGCUGGUCGCAAGAUCAGCCGCAGUGAAAAGGCCCAAGCAACUGUUUAUCAAAAACACAGGCAUCUGCAAAAUCGUAAGAUGAAGUAUAGGUGCUGACACCUGCCCGGUGCUGGAAGGUUAAGAGGAGAGCUUAGCGCAAGCGAAGGUUUGAAUUGAAGCCCCAGUAAACGGCGGCCGUAACUAUAACGGUCCUAAGGUAGCGAAAUUCCUUGUCGGGUAAGUUCCGACCUGCACGAAAGGUGUAAUGAUUUGGGCACUGUCUCAACGAGAGACUCGGUGAAAUUAUAAUACCCGUGAAGAUGCGGGUUACCCGCGACAGGACGGAAAGACCCCAUGGAGCUUUACUGCAGUUUAAUAUUGGGUAUCUGUCAAGCAUGUACAGGAUAGGUAGGAGCCGGAGAAGAUAGGACGCCAGUCUUAUCAGAGGCGCUGUUGGGAUACUACCCUUGCUUGACGGAUGCUCUAACUCAGGCCUGUGAUCCAGGCCGAGGACAGUGUUUGACGGGCAGUUUGACUGGGGCGGUCGCCUCCUAAAGUGUAACGGAGGCGCCCAAAGGUUCCCUCAGAAUGGUUGGAAAUCAUUCGCAGAGUGUAAAGGUAAAAGGGAGCUUGACUGCGAGAGAGACAACUCGAGCAGGUACGAAAGUAGGGCUUAGUGAUCUGGUGGUACCGUAUGGAAGGGCCAUCACUCAACGGAUAAAAGCUACCCUGGGGAUAACAGGCUUAUCUCCCCCAAGAGUUCACAUCGACGGGGAGGUUUGGCACCUCGAUGUCGGCUCGUCGCAUCCUGGGGCUGAAGUCGGUCCCAAGGGUUGGGCUGUUCGCCCAUUAAAGCGGCACGCGAGCUGGGUUCAGAACGUCGUGAGACAGUUCGGUCCCUAUCCGUCGUGGGCGUAGGAAAUUUGAGAGGAGCUGUCCUUAGUACGAGAGGACCGGGAUGGACGCACCGCUGGUGUACCAGUUGUCUUGCCAAAGGCAUCGCUGGGUAGCUAUGUGCGGACGGGAUAAGCGCUGAAAGCAUCUAAGUGCGAAGCCCCCCUCAAGAUGAGAUUUCCCAUUUCUUCAAGAAAGUAAGACACCUCAGAGACGAUGAGGUAGAUAGGCCGGGAGUGGAAGAGCCGUGAGGCUUGGAGCGGACCGGUACUAAUCAGUCGAGGACUUGACCAAAA
This 2087-nucleotide ribosomal RNA is filed under the name Lactobacillus delbrueckii subsp. bulgaricus. RNAcentral's name for it is "partial 23S ribosomal RNA". It matches the Rfam family "Bacterial large subunit ribosomal RNA", at positions 831 to 2925 of the family's 2925-position model. The record is from RNAcentral. Lineage: Bacteria; Bacillati; Bacillota; Bacilli; Lactobacillales; Lactobacillaceae.